Long non-coding RNA from Canis lupus familiaris (dog), 1188 nucleotides. RefSeq lists it as uncharacterized. The record is from RefSeq and is a predicted model, not a curated record. Lineage: Eukaryota; Metazoa; Chordata; Mammalia; Carnivora; Canidae. The transcript has 3 exons.
UUUAUUUAAAGGAAGAGGGAAAAGCGAGUUUCAAAUCAAAAGCUGUGUACCAUGUUUCCAGAGGUGUAUUCCUUAGGAAACAAAUUCUUAAAUAGCAGCUAUAAUCAGAUUAAUUUCUGAUAAAGCAACUAAUAUCUAGUGUUGUUUUUCCGUGACACACUUACAUUUUGUACUCAGGCCAAAGUCUGAGUAAAGAGGAACUGAGAUAGGAAUCACUGUUUUGCAUCUUCAAGUCACUAAUGAUAAUGUUAAAAACUGCUUGUGACAUGCCUUUUUUUCUUUUUCUUUUUUGUGGAAAAGGGGACUCUACUUGACAUUUUCCACCAAAUACUCCCACUUCAUCUUUUCUACCAAAAUAAACCUUUUUAUUACCGUACCGCUCAAGGAGCCAACGUGAGGGUCUCGUAAAUUCUCUGAAGGCAUCCCCUAAAGAUGUUUAUUUUGCCUAUCUACUCUGGAGGAAUAUUAAAGAAGUGUUCACAGUUCUACUGAGCCAAAAUUCCAAUAAUUGCUUAACCUUUAUGCGUCCAUACCCUGCUGUGAGAUCACAGUAGAAUUCUAUAUCCCGAGGAAAACUCUGUUAGUUCACGGCUCAUGAUCAAUAUUUUUCAAAAGGCUUGGGUAUUUCCUAUUUCUGAGUACAGAGCUCCCCUUGUGAAGCAUUACCGAUCUCUAAGGAAGGGUAGGAGGAAUGAUCGCCAGGCGUAUAUUUGAUACGAUUUUGGAUUGUUUCCCCAAGGAUCUUGCUUCCUCAUAGUGGAAGAGACUUUGGGUUUGAGAACUCUCCUCCAGAGCAGCCCAAGAUCCCCCAUGAAAGUGCAUGUUGGAAGUUGCCAGAUGCAUCCUCAGCUGGGCCACAGUAUGGCUUUGUGACACCACAUCCUUUUCCUUCAACCUCCAGUCUGGAACCACCUUGUAUUGUUAUUUGGGCAAGAAAUAAAUUUUGAGGGAGAUGAGCCGCUCCAUAUUCGGGAAGUUGCAGCAUUUACAAGCAAAGAGAAAUAGUUACGAAGGAGGGAAGAAAGACUGCUUCAACCAGCAAGUGAAGCUCUGGGGGAUUUGGAACUCGGCAUAUACAAUGUCCUCUGAUUCUUUGCAUAGAGGCCCAACACCAGUUCUUGGACUCAUGUUUGUUCUAAUCAAAGCUUUAACUUCCCCAGAAGAGAUCUGGAGAUUAACUAAAUUCAA